RNAcentral lists this ribosomal RNA (2764 nucleotides) under Salmonella enterica. RNAcentral describes it as "partial 23S ribosomal RNA". The record is from RNAcentral. Lineage: Bacteria; Pseudomonadati; Pseudomonadota; Gammaproteobacteria; Enterobacterales; Enterobacteriaceae.
UCGUCACACUAUCAUUAACUGAAUCCAUAGGUUAAUGAGGCGAACCGGGGGAACUGAAACAUCUAAGUACCCCGAGGAAAAGAAAUCAACCGAGAUUCCCCCAGUAGCGGCGAGCGAACGGGGAGGAGCCCAGAGCCUGAAUCAGCAUGUGUGUUAGUGGAAGCGUCUGGAAAGGCGCGCGAUACAGGGUGACAGCCCCGUACACAAAAGCGCAUGUGCUGUGAGCUCGAUGAGUAGGGCGGGACACGUGGUAUCCUGUCUGAAUAUGGGGGGACCAUCCUCCAAGGCUAAAUACUCCUGACUGACCGAUAGUGAACCAGUACCGUGAGGGAAAGGCGAAAAGAACCCCGGCGAGGGGAGUGAAAAAGAACCUGAAACCGUGUACGUACAAGCAGUGGGAGCCCCACCACCAAAGCAUUCUCUGGUGUUGAAGGCCCUGCAAAGCAGCAUCGCGGUGGCGGAGCGUCGUUUGCGACGCCCAACACACAAAACAAGCGGUGAGUGCUUUGGGGUGGGGUGACUGCGUACCUUUUGUAUAAUGGGUCAGCGACUUAUAUUCUGUAGCAAGGUUAACCGAAUAGGGGAGCCGGAGGGAAACCGAGUCUUAAUUGGGCGUUAAGUUGCAGGGUAUAGACCCGAAACCCGGUGAUCUAGCCAUGGGCAGGUUGAAGGUUGGGUAACACUAACUGGAGGACCGAACCGACUAAUGUUGAAAAAUUAGCGGAUGACCUGUGGCUGGGGGUGAAAGGCCAAUCAAACCGGGAGAUAGCUGGUUCUCCCCGAAAGCUAUUUAGGUAGCGCCUCGUGAAUUCAUCUCCGGGGGUAGAGCACUGUUUCGGCUAGGGGGCCAUCCCGGCUUACCAACCCGAUGCAAACUGCGAAUACCGGAGAAUGUUAUCACGGGAGACACACGGCGGGUGCUAACGUCCGUCGUGAAGAGGGAAACAACCCAGACCGCCAGCUAAGGUCCCAAAGUCAUGGUUAAGUGGGAAACGAUGUGGGAAGGCCCAGACAGCCAGGAUGUUGGCUUAGAAGCAGCCAUCAUUUAAAGAAAGCGUAAUAGCUCACUGGUCGAGUCGGCCUGCGCGGAAGAUGUAACGGGGCUAAACCAUGCACCGAAGCUGCGGCAGCGACRCUKAUGYGUUGUUGGGUAGGGGAGCGUUCUGUAAGCCUGYGAAGGUGKSYYGUGAGGSWUGCUGGAGGUAUCAGAAGUGCGAAUGCUGACAUAAGUAACGAUAAAGCGGGUGAAAAGCCCGCUCGCCGGAAGACCAAGGGUUCCUGUCCAACGUUAAUCGGGGCAGGGUGAGUCGACCCCUAAGGCGAGGCCGAAAGGCGUAGUCGAUGGGAAACGGGUUAAUAUUCCCGUACUUGGUGUUACUGCGAAGGGGGGACGGAGAAGGCUAUGUUGGCCGGGCGACGGUUGUCCCGGUUUAAGCGUGUAGGUGUGUGUUCCAGGUAAAUCCGGUUCACUUUAACACUGAGGCGUGAYGACGAGGCACUACGGUGCUGAAGCAACAAAUGCCCUGCUUCCAGGAAAAGCCUCUAAGCAUCAGGUAACAUCAAAUCGUACCCCAAACCGACACAGGUGGUCAGGUAGAGAAUACCAAGGCGCUUGAGAGAACUCGGGUGAAGGAACUAGGCAAAAUGGUGCCGUAACUUCGGGAGAAGGCACGCUGACAYGUAGGUGAAGUGAUUUACUCAYGGAGCUGAAGUCAGUCGAAGAUACCAGCUGGCUGCAACUGUUUAUUAAAAACACAGCACUGUGCAAACACGAAAGUGGACGUAUACGGUGUGACGCCUGCCCGGUGCCGGAAGGUUAAUUGAUGGGGUCAGCGCAAGCGAAGCUCCUGAUCGAAGCCCCGGUAAACGGCGGCCGUAACUAUAACGGUCCUAAGGUAGCGAAAUUCCUUGUCGGGUAAGUUCCGACCUGCACGAAUGGCGUAAUGAUGGCCAGGCUGUCUCCACCCGAGACUCAGUGAAAUUGAACUCGCUGUGAAGAUGCAGUGUACCCGCGGCAAGACGGAAAGACCCCGUGAACCUUUACUAUAGCUUGACACUGAACAUUGAGCCUUGAUGUGUAGGAUAGGUGGGAGGCUUUGAAGUGUGGACGCCAGUCUGCAUGGAGCCGACCUUGAAAUACCACCCUUUAAUGUUUGAUGUUCUAACGUGGACCCGUWAYCCGGGUUGCGGACAGUGUCUGGUGGGUAGUUUGACUGGGGCGGUCUCCUCCUAAAGAGUAACGGAGGAGCACGAAGGUUGGCUAAUCCUGGUCGGACAUCAGGAGGUUAGUGCAAUGGCAUAAGCCAGCUUGACUGCGAGCGUGACGGCGCGAGCAGGUGCGAAAGCAGGUCAUAGUGAUCCGGUGGUUCUGAAUGGAAGGGCCAUCGCUCAACGGAUAAAAGGUACUCCGGGGAUAACAGGCUGAUACCGCCCAAGAGUUCAUAUCGACGGCGGUGUUUGGCACCUCGAUGUCGGCUCAUCACAUCCUGGGGCUGAAGUAGGUCCCAAGGGUAUGGCUGUUCGCCAUUUAAAGUGGUACGCGAGCUGGGUUUAGAACGUCGUGAGACAGUUCGGUCCCUAUCUGCCGUGGGCGCUGGAGAACUGAGGGGGGCUGCUCCUAGUACGAGAGGACCGGAGUGGACGCAUCACUGGUGUUCGGGUUGUCAUGCCAAUGGCACUGCCCGGUAGCUAAAUGCGGAAGAGAUAAGUGCUGAAAGCAUCUAAGCACGAAACUUGCCCCGAGAUGAGUUCUCCCUGAGACUUA